Molecule: long non-coding RNA, 500 nt
Organism: Ctenopharyngodon idella (grass carp)
Lineage: Eukaryota; Metazoa; Chordata; Actinopteri; Cypriniformes; Xenocyprididae
Exons: 3
Source: RefSeq, a predicted model, not a curated record
UGACGUUAUCAUGUGACCUACGACGUUAUCACAAGCGCAACAACUUAAAAGAUAUGAGUGACAGGUUUAAUUCAUCUAUCUGUAAAUAUCUUGAUAUUGAUCAAACUUGCUUAUUUUGUGGUCUUGUUGAAGAAACAACUGCCGUUCGGUUUUCUUCAGUGUUAGCAAUGUCUGAUGCCAAAGAAGAGAUCAGCAGCUGCUCAAAGAUCUCGCCUUUGGAGAAGACUGAUUUUAUACUCAAAAAAAUCUGUGCCCAUUCUGCUGCUUUAUUCUGACGAACACCUUCAUCCAUCAUGUCCCUCACUGCUGCUCUUCUCAGUGGGGACAUCGUUGAUCCAGAGGAUGAGGAAGAUGAUGAUGAUGGACCCCUGAACCCCACAACCUUGAAGCAAGACUGGGAGAAGAUGUGCAGGACAAUCUGGCUGCUGCUGUGUCUGCUGCAAACAUUCAUGUGCUCUCCAUCAGCAUGACUAAAACAGAUUAAAACAUUUUACAAUUCA